RNAcentral lists this ribosomal RNA (446 nucleotides) under uncultured bacterium. RNAcentral describes it as "partial 16S ribosomal RNA". It matches the Rfam family "Bacterial small subunit ribosomal RNA", at positions 338 to 795 of the family's 1533-position model. The record is from RNAcentral.
CCUACGGGAGGCAGCAGUCGAGAAUCAUUCACAAUGGGGGAAACCCUGAUGGUGCGACGCCGCGUGGGGGAAUGAAGGUCUUCGGAUUGUAAACCCCUGUCAUGUGGGAGCAAAUUAAAAAGAUAGUACCACAAGAGGAAGAGACGGCUAACUCUGUGCCAGCAGCCGCGGUAAUACAGAGGUGUCAAGCGUUGUUCGGAAUCACUGGGCGUAAAGCGUGCGUAGGCUGUUUCGUAAGUCGUGUGUGAAAGGCGCGGGCCCAACCCGCGGACGGCACAUGAUACUGCGAGACUAGAGUAAUGGAGGGGGAACCGGAAUUCUCGGUGUAGCAGUGAAAUGCGUAGAUAUCGAGAGGAACACUAGUGGCGAAGGCGGGUUCCUGGACAUUAACUGACGCUGAGGCACGAAGGCCAGGGGAGCGAAAGGGAUUAGAUACCCGGGUAGUC